AGGUCUAUUUUGCUUUGUAGUCUGCUUGAGCCGUGGCUCGCGUCCGUCACGGAAACUGUGUGGUGGAUCAGAAACAUGUGCACGCAAUCAGCUCGGUCAAUGAAAUGUGGGACACUCGAAAUAUCUCGGUCCCAGUUCAACCUUUCUCCACCCCCUCCUAUCUAGCUCGUCGGCGGAGAGCGAAAAAAUGGCGGCGGAGAGCUGCAUGGGGAAGGUGCUGACCUGCGAGGCAACGGACUCGAAUUCCUACUGGAUCCGGUUGACAGGUGAUUGCGGGUGUUGAGCAGCCAGAUCCAUUAAUUGGUGUUGAGGGCCGUCGGCCGCGGCUGGCCCCGACUCCUCGUGCGCAGUUGUGGUUGGAUUCCCCGGCGGCUCUGCUGGGCAGAGAGAUUCCGGCGGCAAGAGGAAGGAGUCGCCAACCCAGUCCGAGGGACAAGUUGAACCCAGAGACCUGAAGGUUGAGAGUUGGACGUGUACCUCCGGAUAGGGCACCCUGCCCUGUUUGAGUCACUCAAUUAGAAGAAACAAUCAGGAGGUACGCUGAUAAACCAUCGGACAAUGUAGUUAAGGCGUGAAGCCACAGAUUGGGCUGAAUUUUGACUCCCUGAGGAUCACUUCACUAAUAUGUACAUUCAACUAAGUAAGAGUUUGUAUAAAAACAAGACCAGCCCUGAACAGGCAUUCACCUCCCUGCAGUAGCGUUUAUUUGGGUAAAAGAAGGAUGUGGUGCAUCAGAUCCACGAAAUUUUGCUUUUUGACUACAAAGGGUCAACGAUUCUAAAAAAAGACCAAUAUGAUAGCUUGCACAAUCGGAUUCUAAGAAUAUGGGUCUCAUGAGCACCGAGGGUUAACAAGUUAAAAGCUCCACGGAAGAAAACAUCUCCCUAGGAAACAAGUGAACUACAUAUUUCAAAGAGAACCAUACAUGCACAUUUAACCGUUGCAAGGAAAUAUAAAAAGAUUACUAAAUAAGCAAAUUUGGGUAGUCAAGUAAGUUAUAAAUCAUUAAGAAAUAUUAGGCAAACAAAAGUUUUGACAUUUAUCCCCAUAGGAGUUUGUUCACUUCUUUGCUCGAACAACAUUACCCCAUCAACAAAUUAAUUUGUAUGUCCAAAAUAGCGUUAUUUGCACCGAGCAGCGCCAUUAUGGUUCAGUGUAUUACGUUCUCCGCUAAUGAAAUAAAUAUGCAGCUUGCAAACAAUAGAACGGAUCCAUGUCUACUACCCUAGUAAAGCAUGUAACGGUUUGAAGAUAAUACUGAAAUCCACAGAACCAAAGAAUUAAACUGUUUUGUUAUAUUUGGUUCUAUGUUCUAAGAGAAGAACAUUUGUUUAGGCUUUUUUUCCAGGCAGCAUUUAAUUAGGCUUUAGGAGCAUAUCAUCUAAUAUGUGUCAUGAAUAUGCAAACACUAUGAACAAGUAAGCAAAAGUUAUAGGAGACGUAUCACAUUUCCUAUGCUGGUAGUUCAUCACCUUGGGAUGCAGCCAAAAAAACAUAUUUAUGAACACUGUCGAUCAUCGUCGUGCCUCAUGGACAAACCACAAAACUUGGCAAACACUUGAUAGGGAUGAUAUGCCUCUUUUCUAUGUGAGAACUGGUAAACCUGCUCUUCAUUAGAAUUAGAAUAUCGAUCCUUCAUAUCAUAUCAGUAUUUUUGCUUCACUUGACAAUUUUUUAUUCAGUAUAACAAGAGAGUGUUCGCUCUAACUUCAUGAGUUCAAUAAGCACGUUUCUUUUGCUUCUCAACAUAAGAAUUAUCAUACAUAUACAGUAGGUAUGAGAGGAAAACUGCUUCCAGUUCAGAUCCAUGUGGUGUUGCUAUACAUAUAUAAAAGGUAUGAGAGGAAAACUGCUUCCAGUUUAGAGCAAUGUGGCAUUGCCAUACAUAUACAGUAGUUAUGAGAGGAAAUGCUUCAGGUUCAGAGCUAGGUGCAGCCAAUUACAAAAAUCACAGACAUGAGAACGUAGAUUGCACGCAAUAUCCAAUUUCCCGUUAGGGUAGGCCUCUAAAAUCUACCAAAACUAUGUACUCCCUCCGUUCCCAAAUAUAAGUCUUUCUAGAGAUUCCAACAAGUGACUACAUACGGAGCAAAAUGAGUGAAUCUACACUCUAAAAUAUGUCUAUAUAUAUAUCCGUAUAUAGUAGUCCAUUUGAAAUGUCUAAAAAGACUUAUAUUUAGGAACGGAGUAGUAUAUGACAGGAAAGGUUAAAAAACAUUAUAUUACAGUGUUUUUCGUUUUCAGAACAAUACUAUGUUCUUUUCCUGCUUCUGAACAUUCAUCUUCAGAUUAACUUAUAUUAUGUAAAAAAGGCCUAACAACAUGAUCCACUGUUGGUCUUUUGUCCGCAACAACAAAAUCUUGCAAUUCCUACCAUGGUUAUUUAUAAGUCCAUCCCAAAAUGACAUGCCUAAAGUAAACCAGAUGUAUAUGUUUUGCCCAGAGAUAAAAGCUGGAAACAGUAACCUCUGAUAGAUUAUCAGCCAGUAAUAAAUAACAGACUCCACAUAAAUUUGGAAACAAAAUAAACAAAGAAGGUACCAUGUCGAACACAUUGAUGUGUGAAGUAAGAAAAUUAAGACAUUGCUGAAAAGCUUAUAGUCCACUUCAUGUUUUUUUUCCUAAAUGCCGACAAAUUAACUUUGCAUUCUUGCAGGUUGUAUACCUGAAAAUGGGAAAGACUAAAGAGGCAAAAUCAUACAUGUAAAUUUACAUUCUGGUUUCUCUUGGAUCUGCUACAUGCUAAGCUUCUAUAGUCCCAUUUGAAAUAAAUAAGGGGACAAUAUGAGGUUUUCUAGUCCACUCCAUGUCUAUCAACAAAUAGUCAAUACCAGCAGUAGCAGCAGUGCAACAAAUUCUUGAGUAAAGAAGAAAGUAUGACCUAGAUAAAACAUGCGUAAUCCAUGUUUAAGAAUCAUUCUUUAGGCCAUAUAAAAGGAUGACAUAUAUAUGCAAGGUAAAUCCGCUAAAUCAAUUCCCAAAGAAUUGAAUGAGCAGAUCAAAUGCAACAAUUCAGAGCAUAUUUGUAGAGGAAGUAAUGGAAAGACAUUGUAUUGCAGUUCUGUAACCAUUUCCUCAAUUCUAUGGAGAUGAAACCAGAGCGUAACCAAUAAUGAAACACAUGAACAUCAUAGGUGAACUAACCUGAUAAUUCCUAAGGAGUAUUCCAUCGAACAACCUGUGAGCAACCUAAAACCAAUGGCACAGGACAAUUCACUUGAUCUGGAGUGUGGCCAUCUUUGUGUAGGACAUGCUUCGACCAUGGUGAGGGAGAGGUCCAUGCGGCAAGUUUGUCUGCUGGGCGGUGGUCAACAAGAUGGGGACAUUGUCUUCUCCACCCGGUGCCAUCAGGGUUUGCUGGAAAAGGGAUGGUGCAGAAUUCACCCAUUGGUGGCACUAUCGUGCCGGCGACCACUUGCUGCCCUCUUUGUCGGCGGCCUAACCUUCACCCUCUCUUCAUCGCCUCCCAUCACAAAAUUUUCCAUCGACGGCGAACUUGAUCCCCUCCCCUAUCAGUGUGAUUGCUGCUGCUAUCCACAACGGUCAUCGAUGGAAGGCGGUGUAUGUUGAAUAAAUAGUGGUGAGGAUGAGAGCCAUGGAAGUUGCAAUCAAGACUGAGCUGCCCGGGACUGUGCACAGGUGGUGCAGAUGGCAUGUUCUUAAGAAAGCAAAAGAGCACCUUGGUCCGCUGUACACCAGCAAGAGCGAGUUCAGGUCUGAAUUCCGCAAAGUAGUGAAUCACAUGAUAAGUGUGGAGGAAUUUGAGACUGCAUGGGGCAUGCUGAUUGAGAAGUACAAUUUGACCAUUACAAAACGCAGCUUUAAGAUAUAUGACAGAAGUGGGUGAAUUCAUACUUCGAAGGUGUCUUUUGUGCCAAGAUGACUAGCACACGGCGUAGCGAGAGUGCAGACAAUAUGUUAAAAGAUGUGCAUGCCACCAGCCAGUCCAAUGCAUGUGUUCGUGCGGCAGUACACGAGGCUUCAAUUCUACCGAGAACCAGAUGAGAGCUACCAAGAAAAGAGGACAAGGAUUGUAGAGUGGUGCAGUAAUGAGGACAAAUGUUGUGAUCGAGAGGCAUGCAAGUAAGGUCUACACAAGAAUGAUGUUUGGCCAAUUCGGUGAGAACCUCUUCGAAGGUGGGCCUUACCAGGUGGAGGAAGUGGAGGGGAAGAAGUACAUCGCAAGGCACAAUGACGUCUGAAAAACAUGAAAAUUGAAGCAAGGUGGAGUACGAGGUGACCAUAUCAGAUGUUGGAGGGUUCGAAUGUGAGUACGGGCAGUUUACCCACAUGGGGAUGCUGUGUUGCCAUGCUUUCAAGGUGAUGGACUAUGUUGGCAUGCAAGAGAUAGCAAAACGGCACAUCCUUGAGAGGUGGACAAAAGAUGCCAGGGACAUCUUGCCGCAGCAUCUUGCUGCUAAUCGAUCUUUCACCUGCCGGAGCUCGACUCUCUACAUACAGGCCAUGGAGCUCGUCAGGAUUGGGGACUCAUCAGUGAUCAGUCACGACCUACGAGCUCGGGCUGGAUCGGAUGAAGGAAAUAAUCAUGGAAGCAUCGCUACUGGCUUAAUCCAGGGAUGGACUACAAUUUCAGGAUAGGCAAGCUGCCGAAUCGAAUCGCAAUAACAUUGGAUCGGCAUGUGUGAUCAUCAAAGUUGAGGGAGAUAUGGUUGACAAUGCGAACAGCGUGUCUGCUUCCAGCAAUUGGGAUGCCCUUGCUGGACUGUCGGCUCCAAGCAAGAAGCGUUGUGUUGAGCGACCAUGCUCGAGCAGAGAGAACGUGCCGUAUGAGGGAAUGAGUAAGCGGACGAGGUUUUGCAGCAUUUGCAAGCUGCCAGGGCAUAAGAAGACCACCUGCCCAGACAGAGGUGAUGUGUCAAAGCAGCCUUUCAUGCCUGCAAACUCCAAGAACUGUGGCAUUGGAGAGCAGGGCACCGUUGCACCUCGUGCACCAGGCCGCUAGGUGCAUUUUAACACUUCUUGCGACCAUGUGUAACAGUAUAAGAAUAAUCGAGGAUUUUCUAGUGUGUGACUUAUGGGUGAACUCUGCUGUUGUUCCUCCUGAGUGUAAACUAGUUGUAUUUUAGAUGAUGAUGUGUCGUUUGAACUUAUAAAUUUGAUUUUCCCAAA
Aegilops tauschii subsp. strangulata is the source of this 5130-nucleotide non-coding RNA. NCBI's taxonomy places the organism in Eukaryota, Viridiplantae, Streptophyta, Magnoliopsida, Poales, Poaceae. The record is from RefSeq and is a predicted model, not a curated record.